AUUGAACGCUGGUGGCAGGCCUAACACAUGCAAGUCGAGCGGAUGAAGGGAGCUUGCUCCUGGAUUCAGCGGCGGACGGGUGAGUAAUGCCUAGGAAUCUGCCUGGUAGUGGGGGAUAACGUCCGGAAACGGGCGCUAAUACCGCAUACGUCCUGAGGGAGAAAGUGGGGGAUCUUCGGACCUCACGCUAUCAGAUGAGCCUAGGUCGGAUUAGCUAGUUGGUGGGGUAAAGGCCUACCAAGGCGACGAUCCGUAACUGGUCUGAGAGGAUGAUCAGUCACACUGGAACUGAGACACGGUCCAGACUCCUACGGGAGGCAGCAGUGGGGAAUAUUGGACAAAGGGCGAAAGCCUGAUCCAGCCAUGCCGCGUGUGUGAAGAAGGUCUUCGGAUUGUAAAGCACUUUAAGUUGGGAGGAAGGGCAGUAAGUUAAUACCUUGCUGUUUUGACGUUACCAACAGAAUAAGCACCGGCUAACUUCGUG
Molecule: ribosomal RNA, 484 nt
Filed under: uncultured bacterium
Lineage: Bacteria
Description: partial 16S ribosomal RNA
Rfam family: Bacterial small subunit ribosomal RNA
Source: RNAcentral